Molecule: ribosomal RNA, 465 nt
Filed under: uncultured bacterium
Lineage: Bacteria
Description: partial 16S ribosomal RNA
Rfam family: Bacterial small subunit ribosomal RNA
Source: RNAcentral
AGCGAACGCUAGCGGCAGGCUUAACACAUGCAAGUCGAGCGCCAGGUUUCGGCCUGGAGCGGCGAACGGGUGAGUAACACGUAGGUCACGUACCCUAUGGUGGGGAAUACCCCGGGGAAACUCGGAUCAAUGCCCCAUAUGUCCGAAAGGAUGAAAGCGCUUCGGCGCGCCAGAGGAUCGGCCUACGGCCCAUUAUUUAAUCCUAGUUGGUGAGGUAACGGCUCACCAAGGGUACGCUGGGUAGCUGGUCUGAGAGGACGAGCCGCCACACUGGAACUGAGACACGGUCCAGACUCCUACGGGAGGCAGCAGUGGGGAAUAUUGGACAAUGGGCGAAAGCCUGAUCCAGCCAUGCCGCGUGAGUGAUGAAGGCCUUCGGGUUGUAAAGCUCUGUCGUGGGGGAAGAAGUUCUGACGGUACCCCACAAGAAAGCACCGGCUAACUCCGUGCCAGCCGCCGCCGUAA